Molecule: ribosomal RNA, 465 nt
Filed under: uncultured bacterium
Lineage: Bacteria
Description: partial 16S ribosomal RNA
Rfam family: Bacterial small subunit ribosomal RNA
Source: RNAcentral
CCUACGGGGGGCAGCAGUGGGGAAUAUUGCGCAAUGGGCGAAAGCCUGACGCAGCGACGCCGCGUGAGGGAUGAAGGUCUUCGGAUCGUAAACCUCUGUCAGCAGGGAAGAACGGUCACUGUGCUAAUCAGCAGUGAAUUGACGGUACCUGCAAAGGAAGCACCGGCUAACUCCGUGCCAGCAGCCGCGGUAAUACGGAGGGUGCGAGCGUUAAUCGGAAUUACUGGGCGUAAAGCGCUCGUAGGCGGUAUGUCAAGUCAAGGGUGAAAUCCCCGCGCUCAACGUGGGAACUGCCUUUGAAACUGGCAAACUGGAGUGUGUGAGAGGAUAGUGGAAUUCCAGGUGUAGGGGUGAAAUGCGUAGAUAUCUGGAGGAACAUCAGUGGCGAAGGCGACUAUCUGGCACAUAACUGACGCUGAGGAGCGAAAGCGUGGGUAGCAAACAGGAUUAGAUACCCGAGUAGUC